AGUGAACGCUGGCGGUAGGCCUAACACAUGCCAGUCGAACGGCAGCACAGUAAGAGCUUGCUCUUACGGGUGGCGAGUGGCGGACGGGUGAGGAAUACAUCGGAAUCUACUUUUUCGUGGGGGAUAACGUAGGGAAACUUACGCUAAUACCGCAUACGACCUACGGGUGAAAGCAGGGGAUCUUCGGACCUUGCGCGAUUGAAUGAGCCGAUGUCGGAUUAGCUAGUUGGCGGGGUAAAGGCCCACCAAGGCGACGAUCCGUAGCUGGUCUGAGAGGGUGAUCAGCCACACUGGAACUGAGACACGGUCCAGACUCCUACGGGAGGCAGCAGUGGGGAAUAUUGGACAAUGGGCGCAAGCCUGAUCCAGCCAUACCGCGUGGGUGAAGAAGGCCUUCGGGUUGUAAAGCCCUUUUGUCGGGAAAGAAAAGCAGCAGGUUAAUACCCCGCUGUUCUGACGGUACCCAAAGAAUAAGCACCGGCUAACUUCGUG
This 492-nucleotide ribosomal RNA is filed under the name uncultured bacterium. RNAcentral's name for it is "partial 16S ribosomal RNA". It matches the Rfam family "Bacterial small subunit ribosomal RNA", at positions 29 to 507 of the family's 1533-position model. The record is from RNAcentral.